RNAcentral lists this ribosomal RNA (272 nucleotides) under uncultured Staphylococcus sp. RNAcentral describes it as "partial 16S ribosomal RNA". It matches the Rfam family "Bacterial small subunit ribosomal RNA", at positions 89 to 355 of the family's 1533-position model. Lineage: Bacteria; Bacillati; Bacillota; Bacilli; Caryophanales; Staphylococcaceae. The record is from RNAcentral.
ACGUUAGCGGCGGACGGGUGAGUAACACGUGGGUAACCUACCUAUAAGACUGGGAUAACUUCGGGAAACCGGAGCUAAUACCGGAUAAUAUUCGAACCGCAUGGUUCGAUAGUGAAAGAUGGUUUUGCUAUCACUUAUAGAUGGACCCGCGCCGUAUUAGCUAGUUGGUAAGGUAACGGCUUACCAAGGCGACGAUACGUAGCCGACCUGAGAGGGUGAUCGGCCACACUGGAACUGAGACACGGUCCAGACUCCUACGGGAGGCAGCAGUC